AUCCUGAAGAAGAGCCGUCAGAUCACUGAGUGCGAGCGCCGGUGUUCGCAAGCUUCUCGAGUCCUCGCUGAUCCUUUCUUCUCCCCGCUGCUCCGCUUCUUCGUCCUCUCCUUCCCCUCCUCUUGCGCCGCCCGUGAAAAUCCGCUGCCGACCAGGGCGUAGGCCGCUCGUGAUCCUUUCCUCCUCUAGCUACGUGUGCCACUCCGCCGAGAACCAGGGCGCUACGCAGGUGAAUCGAGGAAACCAAAGGAAAAAUCGACAAGAAAACAACCCAAAUCGAAGCAGCAAUUGAGGAAUCUGUAGAUCGAGCAAGUGUAGACAUGCUUAUGUGCAACAACUUCUUGAGCUCUAUUGCUUUUAUAUAAGCAUGGCUGAAACCGUCAUCAGCGAUUGAGCAGUUCCGGUGGGUCAAGGCCUUCCUUCUGGAUGCAUGGCAAGAAUUCCGGAGCCGGUUUGGCGUCGUCGAAUCACAGUUAUGGCAUUGGGAUCGCGCAGUUCCUUGGGGGCAAGAAUUUUCUUUUCACUGGUGGAACUGAAUUCCUGGCAAAAGUUCUUAUAGAGAAUCUUGAGGGCAAAUCCUGAUGUUGGCAAGAUAUAUAUGUUGAUCAAGGCCAAAGACAGUCAUUGAAAAGAUUGCAAAACGGGGUAGAAGACACAAAUUUGUUCAAAUGCUUGCAAGAAAUCUACGGGAAAGACUACCACAGCUUUGUAUCAAGGACGAUGUCAGAGAAGCCAACAUUGGCAUUGCCCCUGAGCUAGCCGAUGAUAUCGCAGAACAAGUGGAUAUCAUAGUUAACGCAGCAGCGAAUGCCACAUUUGAUGAGAGGUUGUUUCAAGAAUGUGCAGCUCGAUUCAAGAACAAAUACAAGUAAAUUUCAAUAUUAAUUUUACUUAUUAUCCCUAUUAUCAGACUAACUAUAUAUUAAAAUUAGUAUAAGUUGAAGAUUACUCACUACAUAAUAUUUUCACAGUUACGACAGCUUCAAAGUGAAAAAUGAUCCAAAUAUCCAAUGGACAUAGAACAGAAUGAGUACUAGAAGCAUCUGUCACUCUUCAGAGUAUUUUGAAGGCUAUGAACAUUGUAGCGUUAACUAUGUCACAUCUGUACAUCAAACCUCAUACAACUAUGUCCAUUAUCUUUUUAACUAAGUAUAGGACUGCUAAUUUCAAGUGGUCUUCCAGUUUAUUCACCUAUUUUCAUUACUGGCCAAAUCGUUUACUACUAAAUAACCACUGUAUUUACCUCUGCACAAAAUAUCAAUGACGGUACAUAUAAACAACGGAGAAAAAGCCAUCUAACUUGCCAAAUUGGGCAUACAUAGGACCAACGAAAAUUAGCGAAGGAAACCAACGUUACAAGGCCCAACGAAUGGGCUACCAGGUGUGGCAACGCCGCUCCAUAUUUCUAGUAUAUUAUUUACUUAAAAACAUGUAUUAUAUCCAUGUAUAGCUUAUUUUUUAAAAUAAUAUUUUUAUAUUUAUAGUUAUCAUCGAAUUUUGUGAUUAUUAAAUUAAUUAUAGCUCUCGCCACCCUAUCCCCGUCCAACCAGCGGUCCGUCAUUCGCAGGCAUCCCCGCCACCCCGCCCCCUGUGUUCGACGCUGUCGUUGGGUCGGUCUGCUACCCUAAGCAUCCCUCUAAGUCCAGAGAGCAUAUACUGAGCCCCAAAACAGUGAAACCCUCUCCCAAAAUCCCAUCGGCGGUGAGAAAAGAAUUGUCAAUCGUAGAAUCCAAGAUUUUCAGUCGCGUGAUUAAUAUGAGGUGUGGUUAAAAGAAAACACACUGUUUCAUUUGCCACAACGACUAUCUGUCUACAUAUCCGGUAGAUACUUUAAAAAUUUAUCCUCUAUAACACUAUUAUAAUAUCCUUUAAUACUAUUACAAUACUCCUAUUUUUUUUUAUCUCUAACAGCUACUUUAUUUUUUGCAUUCUAUUACUUUCCAUCUCUCUUUAGAUUCGCGAUCAUUAUCUGUGAACAGUGAUAUUGUAUGAGAGAGAAUCUGCAAAUUUAUAGUAGCUGUAGCACUGGAUAUGCAGCAUUGUAGCAGUGGAAGCGGCAUCCACUAGAGCUUGUUUGUGGCCGCUUUGAGUCCGUAUCCGUCGACACUGUGAAGUGGAUUGGUUUUUGCCGAUUCUGUUGGAAUGAUCUAAGGAUAACUCUAGUGGUUAUAGAUAGCAGCUAAGGUCAUCUCCAACGGAGGCUUCAUCCGCCGGCCGUAUUCCUGUUGAUGUACCUUUUGCCGAUCGACUCUCCCGCAACGCUCUCCAACAGGUAUGUUUUCCAGCGCUACAGGGAAGCCGGACAGGAGGAGACGGCGGUAUUUUUGCGGACGAAAACCGGACGUCGUAUUACUGUUCACGGAGUAUGCAUGUGGACCCGAAGAGAUGAGGAGAGUAAUGGAAGGUAGGAAAUAUAGUAGUUGUUGGAGAUAGAAAAAAUAGAAGAUACUGUAAUAAUAUUAGAGGAUGCUGUAAUAGUAUUAUAGGGGAUAAAUUUUUAAAGUAUCUGUUAGAGAUGACCUAAGUAGCUUUUAUUCCUAUGAUAGAGUAAUGUGUAAUGUCAAGAGCCCCAAUACGGGGAAGAACCCUUUCUUGUUGCUCUCGCAUGUCGCAUCCAGGCUCCGCUGCGCCAAACUGCAGUUCCCAAACUUUUGUUUAAUCUCAAAAAGUCGGAUAUGGUAAACAUCAGUUAAUUGAAAUCCAGCUAA
This is a long non-coding RNA of Phragmites australis (common reed), 2708 nucleotides long. RefSeq lists it as uncharacterized. Lineage: Eukaryota; Viridiplantae; Streptophyta; Magnoliopsida; Poales; Poaceae. The transcript is spliced from 4 exons. The record is from RefSeq and is a predicted model, not a curated record.